Molecule: ribosomal RNA, 497 nt
Filed under: uncultured bacterium
Lineage: Bacteria
Description: bacterial SSU rRNA
Rfam family: Bacterial small subunit ribosomal RNA
Source: RNAcentral
GAUGAACGCUAGCGGCAGGCCUAAUACAUGCAAGUCGUACGGCAACACAGUUGCGAGCAAUCGCAACCGGUGGCGAGUGGCGCACGGGUGAGUAACGCGUAUGUAACCUACCCUUCUCCGGGACAUAACUCCGCGAAAGCGGUGCUAAUAUCCCAUACCAACUCAUCAAGACAUCUUCUUGAGUUGAAAGCAGCGAUGCGGUGAAGGAUGGGCAUGCGUCCCAUUAGCUGGUUGGUGAGGUAAUGGCCCACCAAGGCUACGAUGGGUAGGGGUUCUGAGAGGAAAGCCCCCCACACUGGUACUGAGACACGGACCAGACUCCUACGGGAGGCAGCAGUAAGGAAUAUUGGGCAAUGGUCGAAAGACUGACCCAGCCAUGCCGCGUGCAGGAUGAAGGCCCUAUGGGUUGUAAACUGCUUUUAGCCGGGAAUAAACACCCGUUUUAUAACGGGCCCGAAGGUACCGGCUGAAUAAGCAUCGGCUAACUCCGUGCCAGC